Molecule: ribosomal RNA, 489 nt
Filed under: uncultured bacterium
Lineage: Bacteria
Description: partial 16S ribosomal RNA
Rfam family: Bacterial small subunit ribosomal RNA
Source: RNAcentral
AUUGAACGCUGGCGGCAGGCCUAACACAUGCAAGUCGAACGGUAACAGGAAGCAGCUUGCUGCUUUGCUGACGAGUGGCGGACGGGUGAGUAAUGUCUGGGAAACUGCCUGAUGGAGGGGGAUAACUACUGGAAACGGUAGCUAAUACCGCAUAACGUCGCAAGACCAAAGAGGGGGACCUUAGGGCCUCUUGCCAUCGGAUGUGCCCAGAUGGGAUUAGCUAGUAGGUGGGGUAACGGCUCACCUAGGCGACGAUCCCUAGCUGGUCUGAGAGGAUGACCAGCCACACUGGAACUGAGACACGGUCCAGACUCCUACGGGAGGCAGCAGUGGGGAAUAUUGCACAAUGGGCGCAAGCCUGAUGCAGCCAUGCCGCGUGUAUGAAGAAGGCCUUCGGGUUGUAAAGUACUUUCAGCGGGGAGGAAGGGAGUAAAGUUAAUACCUUUGCUCAUUGACGUUACCCGCAGAAGAAGCACCGGCUAACUCCGU